UUCUAUGGAGAGUUUGAUCCUGGCUCAGGACGAACGCUGGCGGCGUGCCUAAUACAUGCAAGUCGAGCGGAGUUUCCGCGACGGAAGCCUUCGGGUGGAAGACGCGGGGACUUAGCGGCGGACGGGUGAGUAACACGUGGGCAACCUGCCCGGAAGACCGGGAUAACAUCCGGAAACGGAUGCUAAUACCGGAUAGGCGGUCUUCU
RNAcentral lists this ribosomal RNA (206 nucleotides) under Thermobacillus sp. ZCTH02-B1. RNAcentral's name for it is "partial 16S ribosomal RNA". It matches the Rfam family "Bacterial small subunit ribosomal RNA", at positions 1 to 186 of the family's 1533-position model. Lineage: Bacteria; Bacillati; Bacillota; Bacilli; Caryophanales; Paenibacillaceae. The record is from RNAcentral.